Molecule: long non-coding RNA, 2335 nt
Organism: Xenia sp. Carnegie-2017
Lineage: Eukaryota; Metazoa; Cnidaria; Anthozoa; Malacalcyonacea; Xeniidae
Exons: 4
Source: RefSeq, a predicted model, not a curated record
AUCUGCUCAGGCUUUUGGCACGACAUGUUGACAAGUUGUCGUGACGUUUAUGAAUUACGCCAAAGGGGACAAAAGUAUUGGAUACAAGUGCUGCACACGUCACCGGGUCACGAAGUACUGAUUAUCGAAUGAAUUUAUCGCUGCAAAAAUUUGAUGAGAUUGUGACCAAUUUUUCAAUGAAAAUACUACAUGUCACAUAGCAUACUAAUGUUAACAUUUCUCGUGACUUUUAAAUCACAGCAUGAGCCAUGAGAUGGAAAAACAUUGAAAAACAUAAGUUACAAGAAUUGUGUAAUUGAGCAGUUCCAUCCAUGAAUGCAGAGUCGAGAUGUUAAGAAUAAAUUCAGAGUUUAUAUGUGGCGGCACAAAGCUUUGUAGCUAUGGAUGAAUACAUAAUGAGCAGAAUGGCGACGUAAAGUGCUAAAGAGCAGAUGUUUUUUGGAAGACAAUUUUCAAAGUUGUCAAGAACCUCGAAUAUUGUAUCGUAAUCUCAACUCGAUGACUCGUAUGUUUUGAAUCACUGUGGCGAACAAUUGCUUUUAUGCCAUGAUCACAAUCACAGCUAAGAUAACUUAUUCAAACUCUAUUACAUCAAAUGGACGCUCAAACGAUUGAUGAUUCUGCUUUCCUAUAUGAAUGGAAGACUGCAGAAGAAGAUUUGGAAUUUUUAGACUAUGCAUACUGUUUUGAAGUUGAUGACCCAAACAAUGCUUUAGCUUCAAAGCCCGUUCUAUCGCAAUGCCACGAAGAAGACGAGAAACAAAAGUUUUAACUCUAUCUGCGCAUAAACUUCAGCGUAUUGAGGACCCGGAGAGCUGCCUACGUAAAACAGUCCUUAUAGGAAAUACGUUAAAACGUCUCAGAAGUCGCGAUUUUUCAUCAACUCGCGAUUUUAGGCUUGUCGAAAGAGGCACAAAAGAAAAAGCAGCUGGUUGUUUCGCCAGCACGCUUCCCAGAAAAAGAGCACGCUUACAUGUUACAGAUAUACUUAACUCGAACACAGAACGUGACUUGAAAAGCGAUUAUGAUGAUCUUCAGCAGUUAUUAACAAGGCAAGAUAAAACCAGUACAAUGGAAAUUACUUAUUUGCAACCAAACUCCGUUAGCAACUGUGCAAUGACGUCAUGUCGUAGCCAGAAAAAUGCAACGUUUGUAAGCUCGAGUGUAGACGAAACAAAACGUAAUUGUGAUCCGAUUAUAUUUAAUGUAUUGGAAUUUCCAAAUGUUGUAUGUGCUUUGGAGACAUGACAUCACAGAUAACCGAACAUUUUUAAUAGGCAAUGUCAAAGGUCCAUUGCACAUAUCUGAGGCUUAAACGAAAUUUUCAUAACAAUUGGAUGCAUAAUUAGGGAAAUAUCAAUUUGGGAAUAAGUGUAUAUUACUGGCGGGUAUUGGAGCCACUCGUUUUUGUAAAGAUAAAUGCUUGAUCUUUGAGUACGUGCGUCAACAUGCCUGGAUUCACUAUUUUACUGGUAAUUGGUUGGAACUAUUGAGAUCAAAUUUCGUCGAUAGCCUAUAUUAAGCAUUCUUCAGUGUGAUUUGAGAGAUGAAGUGAAGGGAAAGAUAUGCUGAGGAUGGACAACAGGAUGAACAAGUGGACGAAGGGGACUUUCAUGGUACUCAAUGGAUCCAUUUGUUUGUCCAUAUUGUGAUUAACAUAAUUUCAUCCUUGUUUUGAUUUUUCCAUCCUAUAUAUUUCAAUGUUGCGUUAUCAAUCGAUAACAUACACGAUACCUACCUGUUCACAGGAUCCUAAAGAAGAUCCAACAAAUCGACCAUUAUUUUAAAGUAAAAGAAGGCUAUGUACAAAGAGGAAAGGCUACUACAUAAAAAAUAUAUCCUUAAUUUGUCUAACUAUCAUCUGGUAUUAUCGCUCUGAUAAAGGCACAGUUAACGUGAUCUCUUAUGAUAUGAGAGGGAUAGUAAAUGGAUAAUUGCUUAUCAGCUAAGAAAAUCACGGGUGAUGGGCAGUUACAUACUGGUCGAUCUGGCUUCAAUACUUCAUCUCACGUGAACAUCAUGUGAACUAUUUAUUCAAAUGCUUUGAGCAUGAAAUGGGCUAUUUAACUGCAGGAAAUUCGCUUUUUUGUGCUUGAGUAUCUUCUUAAACGCCGUAUUAUGAAACUUAAUGAAACUUAUUUACGAAGAAAAUAGAUAGUGUUUUUUUUGACAAUUGAUUGUUGUUGUUGGACAUAGGCAAUAAUGGUGUUGCUUUAACAAAGAAGCAAGUCUUGUCAAUAUGUAGAUAAUUUAUUUGUAAAUUAUAUUGCUCUUAUAUAUCGGGAUAUUGUAGACGAUUACAUUCAUUUAAAUUAUGGAAAGAAGCGAUCACAAA